RNAcentral lists this ribosomal RNA (328 nucleotides) under uncultured eukaryote. RNAcentral describes it as "partial 18S ribosomal RNA". It matches the Rfam family "Eukaryotic small subunit ribosomal RNA", at positions 1470 to 1796 of the family's 1831-position model. The record is from RNAcentral.
CCCUUAGAUGUCCUGGGCCGCACGCGCGUUACACUGAUGCAUUCAACGAGCUUAUAACCUUGGCCGAGAGGCCUGGGCAAUCUUGUUAACGUGCAUCGUGAUAGGGAUAGAUUAUUGAAAUUAUUAAUCUUGAACGAGGAAUUCCUAGUAAACGCAGAUCAUCAAUCUGCAUUGAUUACGUCCCUGCCCUUUGUACACACCGCCCGUCGCACCUACCGAUUGGAUGGUCCGGUGAGGCCUCGGGAUUGUGGUUCUUGCCGCUUUAUUGUAGCGUGACCGCGAGAACUUGUCUAAACCUUAUCAUCUAGAGGAAGGUGAAGUCGUAACA